GGCGGCGUAGCUCAGUUGGUUAGAGCGGCGGAUUCAUAGCCCGCAGGUCACUGGUUCGAGUCCAGUCGCCGCUA
Molecule: transfer RNA, 74 nt
Filed under: Phycisphaerae bacterium
Lineage: Bacteria; Pseudomonadati; Planctomycetota; Phycisphaerae
Also listed under: 1 other name
Description: tRNA-Met
Rfam family: tRNA
About the family: Transfer RNA (tRNA) molecules are approximately 80 nucleotides in length.
Source: RNAcentral